AGAGUUUGAUCAUGGCUCAGGAUGAACGCUAGCUACAGGCUUAACACAUGCAAGUCGAGGGGCAGCAUGUUGGUUGCUUGCAACCAAUGAUGGCGACCGGCGCACGGGUGAGUAACGCGUAUCCAACCUACCCUUGUCCAUCGGAUAACCCGUCGAAAGGCGGCCUAACACGAUAUGCGGUUCACAGCAGGCAUCUAAGGUGAACGAAAUGUGAAGGAGAAGGAUGGGGAUGCGUCUGAUUAGCUUGGUUGGCGGGGUAACGGCCACCAAGGCGACGAUCAGUAGGGGUUCUGGAGAGGAAGGUCCCCCACAUUGGAACUGAGACACGGUCCAAACUCCGUACGGGAGGCA
RNAcentral lists this ribosomal RNA (351 nucleotides) under uncultured bacterium. Its description in RNAcentral is "bacterial SSU rRNA". It matches the Rfam family "Bacterial small subunit ribosomal RNA", at positions 8 to 350 of the family's 1533-position model. The record is from RNAcentral.